AGCUUCACUGUGGUGUGGUGUUUUUUUUGUUUUAAAUAUCCAGUUGUUCAGUGUUGUAAGUAAUUAUAAUGUAGUUUAAACUCACUUCUAUGUAUAACUACAAUGUUCCUGUAAUAUUUAUUUCUGGCUGUUGGUUCACAUGCUAUAGGAAUUAGCUUUUGGUUUUGGGAGAUAGCAGCGUUAAUGUGAGGUUAUGGUGAAAAUCAAAUGAACUGCCGAGGUAACUGCUGUUGCCUGCCAGUGGAUGAGUUUGUAAUGUUGUGAGGUUGCUCUUCAGAGAUCAGACUUUAUUGCAAUAUUUGAUUAAUUGAAGAAGCAAAGAACAGCAAAUGCUCUUUACUACUGCUCUUUGGGUUCUCCUCAUAGCAACUUGAGGAAGGUCACUACUGGUGUAUCUGACUGUACCAUUAAUGUUUGAACAGGCAGAGAUAAUGUUUUGUUUAUUAACCCUGCAGUGGCCAAGGACUUGCUCCUUUUAUAACAAGUUGUUCAAUGAUUACAAUAUUCAACUUUGACAAUGGAGAUACCAAUGUUUUUUUCCACUGUUGCUGCUGGUCUGCUCACUCUCCAGGGCUCAUCUUCAGAGUCAAGAUGGAAAACAAACCGAAUCCCAAGAAAUGGACCCAGUAAGUACCUCUGAACACCAUCCGCCCUGUACGUCCAAGCGGCCCUGAGAGAGGUGGCAGUGGCCAAAGGAUCCUGUCUCUGUUGGCUACACAAACAAGAUGAUCACCAACAAUGGGAAACACAUGCUUUACAUUUUCCCUCUUCAAGAACAAAUUGACACUACACCCCUUCUCUAUUAAGAUGUGGAUGGUGCACCUGAAGACCUGCUGAGUACAUCAACUCCAGAACUUGGAGGCACGUGGCCCAGUGAAGAAGACAACUCAAAACGUCGUGGGCUCACACUACAAACCUCCAGACAACAAUUCAGAUAGCUUGAUGACGAUGAACCCAUCUGACCAGCAGAGGGUUGAAAUCAGCAGCCUGGCCUUUUCUUGGGACUUGCCACCAGCAAUUCAGAGACAGCUAUUAUUUCAUCAUGUGCCACUCCAUCCCAGCUUAGCCAGCUGCUGAAGUUUUGGCUAUGAUGGGGUCAUCAAGGCAGAGUACCUCGCAUCCGCUCCCUGCUGUUACACUGCAUGUGCCUGGACCACAGUUACCUCAGUGUCCUCAUGAGCAGUGGUCCCCAACCCCCGGGCCGCGGACCGGUACCGGUCCGUGGAUCAAUUGGUACCGGGCCGCACAAG
Molecule: long non-coding RNA, 1250 nt
Organism: Monopterus albus (swamp eel)
Lineage: Eukaryota; Metazoa; Chordata; Actinopteri; Synbranchiformes; Synbranchidae
Exons: 5
Source: RefSeq, a predicted model, not a curated record